CUCCUACGGGAGGCAGCAGUGGGGAAUAUUGGACAAUGGGCGGAAGCCUGAUGCAGCCAUGCCGCGUGUGUGAAGAAGGCCUUCGGGUUGUAAAGCACUUUCAGUCAGGAGGAAGGGGUGUGAGUUAAUACCUCAUAUCUGUGACGUUACUGACAGAAGAAGCACCGGCUAACUCCGUGCCAGCAGCCGCGGUAAUACGGGAGCCAGCAGCCGCGGUAAUA
RNAcentral lists this ribosomal RNA (221 nucleotides) under uncultured bacterium. RNAcentral's name for it is "partial 16S ribosomal RNA". It matches the Rfam family "Bacterial small subunit ribosomal RNA", at positions 336 to 552 of the family's 1533-position model. The record is from RNAcentral.